AGUGAACGCUGGCGGUAGGCCUAACACAUGCAAGUCGAACGGCAGCACAGUAAGAGCUUGCUCUUACGGGUGGCGAGUGGCGGACGGGUGAGGAAUACAUCGGAAUCUACUUUUUCGUGGGGGAUAACGUAGGGAAACUUACGCUAAUACCGCAUACGACCUACGGGUGAAAGCAGGGGAUCUUCGGACCUUGCGCGAUUGAAUUAGCCGAUGUCGGAUUAGCUAGUUGGCGGGGUAAAGGCCCACCAAGGCGACGAUCCGUAGCUGGUCUGAGAGGAUGAUCAGCCACACUGGAACUGAGACACGGUCCAGACUCCUACGGGAGGCAGCAGUGGGGAAUAUUGGACAAUGGGCGCAAGCCUGAUCCAGCCAUACCGCGUGGGUGAAGAAGGCCUUCGGGUUGUAAAGCCCUUUUGUUGGGAAAGAAAAGAAGCAGGUUAAUACCCCGCCGUUCUGACGGUACCCAAAGAAUAAGCACCGGCUAACUUCGUG
Molecule: ribosomal RNA, 492 nt
Filed under: uncultured bacterium
Lineage: Bacteria
Description: partial 16S ribosomal RNA
Rfam family: Bacterial small subunit ribosomal RNA
Source: RNAcentral